This 411-nucleotide long non-coding RNA is filed under the name Olea europaea (common olive). Its description in RNAcentral is "long non-coding RNA (OEUR_LNC004837)". The record is from RNAcentral. Lineage: Eukaryota; Viridiplantae; Streptophyta; Magnoliopsida; Lamiales; Oleaceae.
AGAACACAUAUCUCCUCUCAUCGCCCACCACGCUCACUAGACAGAUCACUCAACUCAUGUCUAACUGGUGAGUCACAAUAGAUCCUAAGUCCACGGGAUAAUCCUCUAUCUCCACAUCACUUCUCCCAACCUACGUGGAUAAUGGGUCUCCACCUAACAGAAGUGAUAGAAGUGUCUCUCUCACACUCCACCUGAUCAGGGUCUCUUUCCAGAUAAAGGAUUCUAGACAUUUGAUCACAUCUCCACUCGUGAUCCAAAUGUCACACUCUACAUCCCUCGGUACAAACCACCAUGUACCCUUAGGCAUCUAUACUCCACCUCACCAAAAGACACACAACACACUGCUAAUGCAUCCUAACCCACUAUGCAUGCAAGCAAUUACACCAAGUAAUCCUAAUGUCUCAAAUUNNN